Molecule: long non-coding RNA, 1957 nt
Organism: Oreochromis niloticus (Nile tilapia)
Lineage: Eukaryota; Metazoa; Chordata; Actinopteri; Cichliformes; Cichlidae
Exons: 3
Source: RefSeq, a predicted model, not a curated record
UUUUAGUGCUAUAUAAAAUUAUCUAAUUUACUUGUUGCCAAACUAAAUGAACAUUUAAAUGUUGAUUUAAAAAAAAGAAAAAAAAAACUAUGCAGAAUUCACAUCAGCAUUAACGUUACGGUGCAGUCCCUGCUCUCCUCUCCUCUUCUCUGUUUCUUUGCUCGGAGUAUCGCUCCUGCAGGAAUUACUGGCCUGUCUGAUCUGAUUGCCGCUGAAAAAAAAGGAAGGAAGAAAAGAAAAACGAAUAAAGGACGAAGCGAGACAUCAGCGCGACGAUCUCGGCGGCGUUAACUAGUGAUCGUAAAAAGCGCCAGAGUCCAGCCGCAUCCGAAAUGGAAACCUCUUUUUCCACCGUCGCCUUCGGGGGUGAAUAAACAACAGGAAACGGGAUGAGAAGGGGGGGAAAAAUCCAUUGAGUCUUGGGAAGAAAAUGAGAGUGGCACCUGAUGAUGUCGACUUUGACACGUGUUAAUUGCUGCUCAGCUCUCCUCAUCAGGGAGUCUCAAAUUAUUUUAGCGCUCCGGGCCACAGCGCCUUGUUUGCUUUGCUGAGGAAAGGAAGCAAGCUGGCCCAAACUUCAAAUGAUAAAAUGGCUUCAUCGAUAGAAAAAUCAGACAAAACUGCUUCACUGCACUUCUGGCUACAUUUAAACAUCUUUGAUUUCAGUUUCCUGCUGUAUCCUCAGCUUUUACCAACAACGCUCCUCUCAACCAACAUACUCAAAUACACAGUUUUACUUCAGUGCCUGAGAGCACCAGUACUCACCUUCUUUACUUCACACUUCUUACCUGUUGACAUGUAUUUAUAAGGCCUUGCAUGGUGAAUUAUAAAGCCUUUGUUAUUGCCUGGCUUGGGGUUGGCCACUUGUUUAUGACACCAGUAAUGGUGGUAAUUGUUAUUGUUGAGAUUACCUGUCAAGAGGACCUGGACAGUGAGCUUGGAGAAAGCGUUGCUCUCUUGACAAGGGGUGACAGGGGUGUGGGGAAGAGGAUGUGGGGGGAUUGGGGGUUGGAGGCGAGGCUGGGAUGCCCUGAUGACUUCUCCGCUGAUAAUCAGCUACCGUGGCCUGUGGGAUAAUUCAGCUGUCAGUGCCACCUAACAGGGCCCAGCAUCAGCCGGCCGACCCCAGCUGGCGUCAUUCAUUUGGACUGAAGAUGGGGAUGAAGGCCUGAGGAGGGGUGAAGGGAUGCAAGAGCAGAGGAAUAAGGACAACGUCUACAUAUUUGAUUGCUGGAGUUGGCCUUUAAAUGCAGUAAUUUAAAGUUAUCAUCAAACAUUUUUUAUAGUUUUUGAAAAAAAUGUCUUUUAAAUUUUGCGCCUAAAAGUGCCUUUUUCAAAUUAACAGCUGAUUGAAUGUUUAAACCUCGCUUUGGUGAAAAACCGAAGUAUUAAAUGUGUUUUAAAUUGUAUUUCACAUAAGGUCUUAUUUUCUUUGUAUAAAAAACAGUUUCAGUUUUUUUGCAAAGGCACAUAGCAAGUCCUCACAACACUGCACCUAACAACAUAGAGCAGAUCCUUUAUGCCAUAUGAUCUAAAUGCUUUGUGAAGAAUUUCUGCAACCAGGACUGAGCAGGCGAUUGCAGUAAUUCUUGAGAUGUUCACUUGCAUCUUAAAUCAACAUGACGCUGUAAUAAGUGUAUUUUGUUGAAAAUGAAAUUACUUUUAAAUUGAGCCACUACAACAAAUUCAAAGCUUAAUAAUAUAAAGGUUAAUUGCAUGCAAUAUGUCAUGUAUAGAAAUUGUUGAAAAUGUGACUACCUAUUUGCAACCUUUUAAGGUCCUUCCUAAUUCCUUCUGUAAAAGCAGACUCGUUGUCUUCCUGGACACGUGUGCAUCAUAAAGAGGGCAGCAGCAGCUAAAAUGGCAGGCAAAUCACUUUUCGAAUGGUUUUGGAGCAGCUAUCAGUGUCAUCCCUGAAAGGCUGUCUUUAUCAAUGAUACUGGCUGAUAUGGUGGGG